RNAcentral lists this unclassified non-coding RNA (200 nucleotides) under soil metagenome. Its description in RNAcentral is "partial contains internal transcribed spacer 2 and large subunit ribosomal RNA". The record is from RNAcentral.
GUCGCUUGAAAUGCAGGUGCGGCUGGACACAUCUUCUGAGCUAUAAGCAUUACUUAUUUAAUCCCGUCAGACGGAUUAUUUCUACUGCUACAGCUAAUAUAAAGAUCGAUUGUCCGUUUUGCCCGACUGAUGUAGAAAAAACAGAGAGAAAUCUUUGUUCACUCGAUCUCAAAUCAAGUAAGACUACCCGCUGAACUUAA